This 392-nucleotide ribosomal RNA is filed under the name uncultured bacterium. RNAcentral describes it as "bacterial SSU rRNA". It matches the Rfam family "Bacterial small subunit ribosomal RNA", at positions 29 to 416 of the family's 1533-position model. The record is from RNAcentral.
AGUGAACGCUGGCGGUAGGCCUAACACAUGCAAGUCGAACGGCAGCACAGCAGUAGCAAUACUGUGGGUGGCGAGUGGCGGACGGGUGAGGAAUACAUCGGAAUCUACCUUUUCGUGGGGGAUAACGUAGGGAAACUUACGCUAAUACCGCAUACGACCUUAGGGUGAAAGUAGGGGAUCGCAAGACCUUACGCGGAUAGAUGAGCCGAUGUCGGAUUAGCUAGUUGGCGGGGUAAAGGCCCACCAAGGCUACGAUCCGUAGCUGGUCUGAGAGGAUGAUCAGCCACACUGGAACUGAGACACGGUCCAGACUCCUACGGGAGGCAGCAGUGGGGAAUAUUGGACAAUGGGCGCAAGCCUGAUCCAGCCAUACCGCGUGGGUGAAGAAGGCC